RNAcentral lists this ribosomal RNA (489 nucleotides) under uncultured bacterium. RNAcentral's name for it is "bacterial SSU rRNA". It matches the Rfam family "Bacterial small subunit ribosomal RNA", at positions 28 to 526 of the family's 1533-position model. The record is from RNAcentral.
AAUGAACGUUGGCGGCGUGGAUUAGGCAUGCAAGUCGUACGCCCCGCAAGGGGCGUGGCGCAAGGGUGAGUAAGGCGACGGCAACCAACCCCGAGGCCGGGUAUAGCCGGGCGAAAGCCCGGGUAAUCCCCGGCGCCGUCCAUGGGGGGGCAUCCCCCCGGGACGAAAGGUGCGAUUCCGCCUCGGGACGGGCCGUCGUGGUAUCAGGUUGUUGGCGGGGUAACGGCCCACCAAGCCUGCGACGCCUACCGGGCGUGCGAGCGUGGCCCGGCACACUGGGACUGAGACACUGCCCAGACACCUACGGGUGGCUGCAGUCGAGAAUCUUCGGCAAUGGGCGCAAGCCUGACCGAGCGACGCCGCGUGGAGGACGAAGGCCUUCGGGUUGUAAACUCCUGUCGAGGGGGAACAAGGGGCGGUGCAGAGCCGUCCUUGAGUGAUCCCUGGAGGAAGCACGGGCUAAGUUCGUGCCAGCAGCCGCAGUAAAAC